This 220-nucleotide long non-coding RNA is filed under the name Elaeis guineensis (African oil palm). Its description in RNAcentral is "long non-coding RNA (EGUI_LNC075502)". Lineage: Eukaryota; Viridiplantae; Streptophyta; Magnoliopsida; Arecales; Arecaceae. The record is from RNAcentral.
GUUAUUUAUUUAUAUUUAUUUUUUAUUUUAUUUUUUUAAUUUUUUUCUUCUCCUUCGAGCACGCACUGCCAUCCCCUUGGCGCAUAUUAAAAAAUUGACUUAGAACCAUGGUUGUCGCUUUAUUUUGACGACGUCAAAUUAUUAUUAAUCAAAUAAUAAUAAUCUAUUAUUAAUCAAAUUGAUGGUUUGAUACCGUUCUAUUUUCAGAUAUAGAAGUCAA